AAAUAUGAAGUUACUACACGUGUUUGGCUGAUUUCAAUACUCUAGCUCUAGAAACACGAGAAUUUGGUGUAAAUAGUUCUGUUUACAGAAUUUGGUGUAAAUAGUUCUAUUUACCUACUGUAAACAGUGCAAUGACCCACAUAUCCCUCUCUCUUUUCUCCCAUCCUCUCUUCUCUCUCUCCUCUUUUCUCCCAUCCUCUUCCUCUGCUCGCGUGGGGGCGCCGGCCUGCGCGCGCUGGAGCGGCCCGGCAUCGCAGCAGCAGCGCGCGCGGCCUUAACUGUCGACGACCUCCUCUUCAAUCUCCUCCACGAACUCCUCUCCAAUCUGACAGGCAGCCUGCGCGCCGGCAUUAGUGUGGCUAUUAGCAUAAUUCUUCUCCGCCGGCAGCUCAAACUUUCGCAGCAGCACAGAUACACAAUCCAUCUCGCACGCAACAAGACAAUUCAGGGGCUCGCACGCACAAGACAUCGGAGAAAAGGAAUGACUGGAUGAAGAAGAAAGGGGCCACGGAUACGCUCCG
This 521-nucleotide long non-coding RNA is filed under the name Setaria italica (foxtail millet). RNAcentral's name for it is "long non-coding RNA (SITA_LNC000778)". Lineage: Eukaryota; Viridiplantae; Streptophyta; Magnoliopsida; Poales; Poaceae. The record is from RNAcentral.